RNAcentral lists this ribosomal RNA (450 nucleotides) under uncultured bacterium. RNAcentral's name for it is "bacterial SSU rRNA". It matches the Rfam family "Bacterial small subunit ribosomal RNA", at positions 354 to 796 of the family's 1533-position model. The record is from RNAcentral.
GUGGGGAAUUUUGGACAAUGGGCGCAAGCCUGAUCCAGCAAUGCCGCGUGCAGGAAGAAGGCCUUCGGGUUGUAAACUGCUUUUGUCAGGGAAGAAAUCUUCUGGGCUAAUACCCCGGGAGGAUGACGGUACCUGAAGAAUAAGCACCGGCUAACUACGUGCCAGCAGCCGCGGUAAUACGUAGGGUGCGAGCGUUAAUCGGAAUUACUGGGCGUAAAGCGUGCGCAGGCGGCUUUGCAAGACAGAUGUGAAAUCCCCGGGCUCAACCUGGGAACUGCAUUUGUGACUGCAAGGAUAGAGUACGGCAGAGGGGGAUGGAAUUCCGCGUGUAGCAGUGAAAUGCGUAGAUAUGCGGAGGAACACCAAUGGCGAAGGCAAUCCCCUGGGCCUGUACUGACGCUCAUGCACGAAAGCGUGGGGAGCAAACAGGAUUAGAAACCCUGGUAGUCC